Molecule: ribosomal RNA, 468 nt
Filed under: uncultured bacterium
Lineage: Bacteria
Description: partial 16S ribosomal RNA
Rfam family: Bacterial small subunit ribosomal RNA
Source: RNAcentral
GACGAACGCUGGCGGCGUGCUUAACACAUGCAAGUCGAACGGAAAGGCCCUGCUUUUGUGGGGUGCUCGAGUGGCGAACGGGUGAGUAACACGUGAGUAACCUGCCCUUGACUUUGGGAUAACUUCAGGAAACUGGGGCUAAUACCGGAUAGGAGCUCCUGCUGCAUGGUGGGGGUUGGAAAGUUUCGGCGGUUGGGGAUGGACUCGCGGCUUAUCAGCUUGUUGGUGGGGUAGUGGCUUACCAAGGCUUUGACGGGUAGCCGGCCUGAGAGGGUGACCGGCCACAUUGCGACUGAGAUACGGCCCAGACGCCUACGGGAGGCAGCAGUGGGGAAUAUUGCACAAUGGGCGGAAGCCUGAUGCAGCAACGCCGUGUGCGGGAUGACGGCCUUCGGGUUGUAAACCGCUUUCGACUGUGACGAAGCGUGAGUGACGGUAAUGGGUAAAGAAGCACCGGCUAACUACGUG